Molecule: ribosomal RNA, 608 nt
Filed under: Dissomphalus sp. 3 MC-2010
Lineage: Eukaryota; Metazoa; Arthropoda; Insecta; Hymenoptera; Bethylidae
Description: eukaryotic LSU rRNA
Source: RNAcentral
AAGAUCGAAAGGGGGAGAUUCAUCGUCAGCGACACUGGCUUCACGGUCGGCUCGCGAUGCCGCGGGGCUCUUUCCGGCUCCGUGGCACGCGGUCAUCGCGUUGCGUCCCGGUGGCGUCGGCGUGCACUUCUCCCCCGGUAGAACGUCGCGACCCGUUGGGUGCCGAUCUAAGGUCCGAGCGGGCGUCUGUCGCGUCGCAGUUAAAUGCACCGCGGCAAACCCUCGGUUCAUCCAGCAUCGGCUGCCCGGCGGUACUCGCAUGGUAUCGGGCCGCAAAACACUUUGAACUGCGUCGGGCCCGCCGCAAGCUUGGUCAGAUCAUGCUUCGGAGGCACGGAACUAAGCGCCGUCCCCGUGCCUGGCCAGCUGUUGGCAGGCGGUGUCCUCUGACAGGCCAAUAACCCUUUUCGAGAGUGUGAUACCGGUCGGCGACGCUACUGCUUUGGGUAAUCUCAGGACCCGUCUUGAAACACGGACCAAGGAGUCUAACAUGUGCGCGAGUCAUUGGGACCGCAUGCCUAAAGGCGAAAUGAAAGUGAAGGUCGUCCUUGAAAAGUCGACCGAGGGAGGAUGGGCCGCGUCGAGGCGCGGCUCCGCACUCCCGGGGC